Molecule: ribosomal RNA, 497 nt
Filed under: uncultured bacterium
Lineage: Bacteria
Description: partial 16S ribosomal RNA
Rfam family: Bacterial small subunit ribosomal RNA
Source: RNAcentral
GACGAACGCUGGCGGCGUGCCUAAUACAUGCAAGUAGAACGCUGAAGAGAGGAGCUUGCUCUUCUUGGAUGAGUUGCGAACGGGUGAGUAACGCGUAGGUAACCUGCCUUGUAGCGGGGGAUAACUAUUGGAAACGAUAGCUAAUACCGCAUAACAAUGGAUGACACAUGUCAUUUAUUUGAAAGGGGCAAUUGCUCCACUACAAGAUGGACCUGCGUUGUAUUAGCUAGUAGGUGAGGUAAUGGCUCACCUAGGCGACGAUACAUAGCCGACCUGAGAGGGUGAUCGGCCACACUGGGACUGAGACACGGCCCAGACUCCUACGGGAGGCAGCAGUAGGGAAUCUUCGGCAAUGUGGGCAACCCUGACCGAGCAACGCCGCGUGAGUGAAGAAGGUUUUCGGAUCGUAAAGCUCUGUUGUAAGUCAAGAACGGGUGUGAGAGUGGAAAGUUCACACUGUGACGGUAGCUUACCAGAAAGGGACGGCUAACUACGUG